GAUGAACGCUGGCGGCGUGCCUAAUACAUGCAAGUCGAGCGAACAGACGAGGAGCUUGCUCCUCUGACGUUAGCGGCGGACGGGUGAGUAACACGUGGAUAACCUACCUAUAAGACUGGGAUAACUUCGGGAAACCGGAGCUAAUACCGGAUAAUAUAUUGAACCGCAUGGUUCAAUAGUGAAAGACGGUUUUGCUGUCACUUAUAGAUGGAUCCGCGCCGAAUUAGCUAGUUGGUAAGGUAACGGCUUACCAAGGCAACGAUGCGUAGCCGACCUGAGAGGGUGGUCAGCCACACUCGAACUGAGACACGGUCCAGACUCCUACGGGAGGCCGCAGUAGGGAAUCUUCCGCAAUGGGCGAAAUCCUGACGGAGCAACACCGCGUGAGUGAUGAAGGUCUUCGGAUCCUAGAGCUCUGUUAUUAGGGAAGAACAAAUGUGUAAGUAACUAUGCACGUCUUGACGGUACCUAAGCAGAAAGCCACGGCUAACUACGUG
Molecule: ribosomal RNA, 497 nt
Filed under: uncultured bacterium
Lineage: Bacteria
Description: partial 16S ribosomal RNA
Rfam family: Bacterial small subunit ribosomal RNA
Source: RNAcentral